UAACUGGAGAGUUUGAUCCUGGCUCAGAACGAACGCUGGCGGCAUGCCUAACACAUGCAAGUCGAACGAGAAAGUACUUCGGUAUGAGUACAG
This 93-nucleotide ribosomal RNA is filed under the name Bdellovibrionales bacterium. Its description in RNAcentral is "partial 16S ribosomal RNA". It matches the Rfam family "Bacterial small subunit ribosomal RNA", at positions 1 to 95 of the family's 1533-position model. The record is from RNAcentral. Lineage: Bacteria; Pseudomonadati; Bdellovibrionota; Bdellovibrionia; Bdellovibrionales.